This 160-nucleotide transfer RNA is filed under the name SAR324 cluster bacterium. RNAcentral describes it as "tRNA-Ser". Lineage: Bacteria; Deltaproteobacteria. The record is from RNAcentral.
GGGGUAUUGAGCCGGGCAUCCUGCGAUUAGUGAUUUUACUGGAACUCCAGUAAUCCUUUGGUUUCAACGGAUUUUAUUGACACUUUAAUCUCAUCCGUUAAUAUAGUGAGCUUGCCUUGCAAGCAGGAGGUCGUCAGUUCGAUUCUGAUAUCCUCCACCA